Arachis ipaensis is the source of this 1547-nucleotide non-coding RNA. Lineage: Eukaryota; Viridiplantae; Streptophyta; Magnoliopsida; Fabales; Fabaceae. The record is from RefSeq and is a predicted model, not a curated record.
UGCGUAAAUAGCUCGUUCAACCGAUAAUAUAUUGCUCGGACGAGCACCAAGAUAAGCAGAUUCCGGGCACCCUUUAACACUGAAUUAAUGCACUCGACAAGGUUUAUGGUCAUGUGACCCCAUUGAUGUCCCUCGUCGAAUGCCAAUACCCACUGAGGUAGUUCGAUGUUGUCGCACAAACGGGCAUAUGCCUCACCUCGUUCUUGCAACCUCUUAUAGCUGACGUUGUACUCCUCCACCAUCCUUAAAUACCCAAUGUUGACAACGAGCUUUUGCAAAUACGGGACCUUGAACUCCCUUAAGAAGUUGCUACCAAUGUGCCGAAUACAAAAUAUUCAUCAUGUUCUCGGAGGUUUUCAAUCACCUCUGCUACGAUUUACUGCUACCCGGAUUGACUCAUGACGAUGGGAGAUUAUACCCACGCCGUCUCUUCUUACAAUAUGACUUCGAAAAUUACUAAGAAAAAAGUGUAACGAUCAGCGGUUUCACCCUCUAUGAUGGCAAAAGCAAUCGGCACAAUGUUUUGAUUCCCGUCUUGCGCAACUGUAACCAAAAGGCAACCUUUAUAUUUUUCGUAUAGGUGGGUGCCGUCAACUUGAACUAACGGCUUGCAAUAUUUGAAGGCUCUAAUACAUGGAUUGAAACUCCAGAAUACCCACUGAAGUAUUCUAACACCCGCCACCACUUCACUCCCGUUAUUUAGGGGUCGUGUUUCUAUCUGGACUUGCGAAAUAGGCAUCUUCUGAACCAUUACGGAGAACCACAAUGGCAAAGCUCCAUAAGAUUCUUCCCAUCCACCGAAAACUUUCGCUAUCGACUUCUGCUUCGCCAACAAAGUCUUUCGGUAACUAAUAGUGUAAACUCCGCUAAAAUCGGUAAAUAAUUAGUAAAUAAAUUGAAUUUUAAUUAGAAAAGCUAAAAAUGAAAAACUAAUAUCAAAAUAGGAUAGAAUUUGUCGAAACGAAAAUUUUGAUACCAAUUUCGAUAAAUUAGCCCAAAGUUGGACCGGAAAGACCGAACCGGUUGAACCAGGACCCAAACCGGGCCUGUGGGUCCAACCGGACCCGUAAUAUAAAGGAAACAGCAGCUCUCUUCUCCCUCAUUAGUUGCUGUAACGCCAAAACAUAAUUGGAGGAAAGGGAGAGAAGCUCUUAAACCCUAACCCUUUGAUCCACCAUAACUCCUCCAUCCGGGCUCCGAUCGCUGCACCGUUCAUGGCCACGAGCUCAUCAUGUCGAGCUCUACCUUUCUAUCCAAACAAUUUCACUGAUUCAAGUUAGCUUCCGGAACUUGUGGGCUCAAGCUAUUGAGCAUUUGGGUAUGGUGUAGGUUAAGUGGGUGUUUAUGCAUGUGAAUUAAAUUGGGAUUACUUGGAGGUUUGUUGGUGACCAAGGCUUGUUUUGGGGCUGUUUGAUUGAGUUUGGAGGGGCUGUAAUUGUGCGUUGUGAGGCUACCUUGGGUGAAUUAAGUGAUCGGCUAAGGUAUGGUUUAAGUUUCGCACGUUUAAUAUUUACGGUGUUGUGAAAACAUAGGUUAGAAAAACCAUA